RNAcentral lists this ribosomal RNA (497 nucleotides) under uncultured bacterium. Its description in RNAcentral is "partial 16S ribosomal RNA". It matches the Rfam family "Bacterial small subunit ribosomal RNA", at positions 28 to 507 of the family's 1533-position model. The record is from RNAcentral.
GACGAACGCUGGCGGCGUGCCUAAUACAUGCAAGUAGAACGCUGAAGAGAGGAGCUUGCUCUUCUUGGAUGAGUUGCGAACGGGUGAGUAACGCGUAGGUAACCUGCCUUGUAGCGGGGGAUAACUAUUGGAAACGAUAGCUAAUACCGCAUAACAAUGGAUGACACAUGUCAUUUAUUUGAAAGGGGCAAUUGCUCCACUACAAGAUGGACCUGCGUUGUAUUAGCUAGUAGGUGAGGUAAUGGCUCACCUAGGCGACGAUACAUAGCCGACCUGAGAGGGUGGUCGGCCAAACUGGGAAUGAGACACGGCCCAGACUCCUACGGGAGGCAGCAGUAGGGGAUCUUCGGCAAUGGGGGCAACCCUGACCGAGCAACGCCGCGUGAGUGAAGAAGGUUUUCGGAUCGUAAAGCUCUGUUGUAAGUCAAGAACGGGUGUGAGAGUGGAAAGUUCACACUGUGACGGUAGCUUACCAGAAAGGGACGGCUAACUACGUG